GACGAACGCUGGCGGCGUGCUUAACACAUGCAAGUCGAACGAAGUGGCGAACGGGUGAGUAACGCGUAAUCAACCUGCCCUUCAGAGGGGGACAACAGUUGGAAACGACUGCUAAUACCGAAUACUGAAGGAGGGGAUUGCGUCGGAUUAGCUAGUUGGGGGGGUAACGGCCCACCAAGGCGAUGAUCAGUAGCCGGUCUGAGGGGGUGAACGGCCACAUCGGGACUGGGACAAGGGCCAGACUCCUACGGGGGGCAGCAGGUGGGGAUCUUCCGCAAUGGACGAAAGUCUGACGGAGCAACGCCGCGGGAGUGAUGACGGCCUUCGGGGUGUAAAGCUCUGUUAAUCGGGACGCGGUACCGGAAUAGAAAGCCACGGCUAACUACGUGCCAGCAGCCGCGGUAAUAC
This 408-nucleotide ribosomal RNA is filed under the name uncultured bacterium. RNAcentral describes it as "partial 16S ribosomal RNA". It matches the Rfam family "Bacterial small subunit ribosomal RNA", at positions 28 to 526 of the family's 1533-position model. The record is from RNAcentral.